AAGCUUAUUCCCCAUUCCGUGGAUUGCGUUCCCAAGCCUCCUGGAUUGACCCCACCGUUCACAGUUCCAAAUCCGGCAUCUCCUCUCAGCCGAGAACACUAUCCCACGUCAUCCAUAUCAUCCCAGAUUUUAUCCAAACUCUCUCCCAGCCGAAUCAAGCUAUCCAUCAUCCACGGAUUCUCUCGUCUUCAUCCCAUCAUCCGCAUCACCCUCAUUUGCUUCCUCAUCUUUGAAUUAACUCCCCUGUUUCACGCAUCCAGCUUCUCCUCCACGUUCCGGAUUAGAUCACAUCUCCCAGCUUGCGAUCAUCCUUAUCCCAGCAGCUUCUUCUCUCCCACUGCAUCCACGUCACCAGGUAUCCGUUCCUUGUUAUCAGCCGAGAUCCCAACAUCCUAGCUUGCAUUCUUAUCCUGUUUGUAAUUAAUCAUCCUUAUCCCAGCAAAUCCAAACAUCCCUGCUUCAAGAUCAGUUCGAAUCCCAUCUUCUCCGAAUCCCCUACCUCCUCAUCCCAACUCUAUCCUCUCGGAACAAAUCUCAUCCCAUUCGCAACCAGCCAAAUCCCAGCAAACCUCAGGAUCUCAUCCAAUUCCUCCCAACGGCUUUAUUCUCAUGCGAUUCAUCAUCCCCUGUUCACAGCCGGAUGAACAUCCGCAACAAUCUCAUGCCCAUCUCCCAGAUCUCCAGCCAACGGCAGCACAACCAAACUACCAGCAUCCGGAUCAGAGCCAACAACGAAUUCAUCGCAUCCAAGGAUCAAGGAACAGAGCCGGGAUCUUCUCAACGUCCGCAUCAUCCCCUGCAUCCAAAGCCAAAGCCAGCCUUGUCAACGCGAUCGUCUCCCAGUCCACAUCCUUCCCAACGUCCGAAUCGGCUCAAAUCUUCCGCACCGCGUCCCAGCCGCGUCCAAGAAUCCUUCCACGUGUUGAAGAAGCCUGGCUCCUUCGUUUCAUUCCCUGGAUUCGCAUCAACAGCUCACCUUCUUUCCAACUCCCGGAUCAGCUCUAUCUUCAUCGCACGUCCGCCGCUUCUCCGUCGUUAUCUUCCCACUAGGAAGAUCUUAUCCAUGUGAGGGAAGUAGGGCGCUGGGGAAGCUAUAAAAGGAGGAAAGUUCUCUUCACGGCAUCAUCUCUUCGCUGGAGAAGCUUGGGUUCCCAGACCAAGUUUCCACAAAAAUAAGUGGGAGAGAUAGUAGUUUGGGUAUUUUGGGAAUGAUUUUUCAAAGAAAAAAUAAUGAAGUUCAAGAGGGAGAGGAAGCCGACGGGAGAAAAAAAGGAGAACCCAGUCAUGAUGAAGGCCUUCUACAUCGCUGUUGCUGUCGCCCACGACUCCAUGGAAGGCUGAUCUCCUCACUAGGGCUGGAUGCAGCCCUAACAAAGGGCUAAGGGUUUUAUAUUUUAAUUUUCUAUUCCUGGAGUUGUAUAAACUUUAUUUUGCUCCCAAUGAAUAUUUUAUUUCAUCUCAUAUUUAAUUUCUAUGAUUUUAAGUAUGAUGCUUAUGCAAGUAUUCUUCAUUAUCACAAAGUAAAUAUAAGAUAAUCCAUGCAUAAGGAAGAUGUGGUGUGCUACCACCUUAGAUUAGGAUAGAUAUUUCAUACCAACUGAAAAUGGAUUAUUCCCAAAUUGCUUUUAUGAAUUUCUAUUUAAAUGCUUAUUAGGCUUGUAGCCAAUUUGCAUGUUAAUCCAAAAAUAAAUUAAAAUACAAUUAAUCCUUGUUCCGAUGUUAGUGGUGUAUUCCUUGCCCUAGGUCCCCUCACACUGAUAUCACUUCAAUUGCAUUUUCAUUAAAUUUCUUAGUUUAAUUUUCUUUAUAAAUUUUCCUUUUUAAAUAUUUUUUUUAGAAAACAACUAUACCCCAAUCUCUGUGAAUCGAUACCCGUAAUCACUAUUCUACUAGAUACGUGCUAUUGCGUGGUCUUUAAAAUUGACUAUCAAGAGGAAGGAUGUGAACUUCCUUCUUUGGGCCAAGAGGGGGAUGCGAUGCAGGGGCCUCCCGUGAUCGCAUAGAAUGGGGGGCGCGUGAAGAAUGCGGACUGCUGGGAGGAGCGGACGUGGGAGAUGCUUUGAUUGCAUUGAUGGCGUGGAGGAUUUGGAAGGGAUGCCACGGCUGCAGGUUUGGACGGUUGAUGGUCUAGUGAUGUUUUAUUGGAUGCAUGUUCGGAUGAGACGUGGACAGUUGGGAUUUCAUGCAUGCAUGGCAAUUGGAGAAUUUGUUGAGCUCGGGCUGUCGGGCAUUGGGCUCAAACCCAAUAUUAUUGGGUCUCUUGGAUUCCUUGCACUCAAACACAAA
Molecule: long non-coding RNA, 2286 nt
Filed under: Phoenix dactylifera (date palm)
Lineage: Eukaryota; Viridiplantae; Streptophyta; Magnoliopsida; Arecales; Arecaceae
Description: long non-coding RNA (PDAC_LNC009599)
Source: RNAcentral